Molecule: ribosomal RNA, 253 nt
Filed under: uncultured bacterium
Lineage: Bacteria
Description: partial 16S ribosomal RNA
Rfam family: Bacterial small subunit ribosomal RNA
Source: RNAcentral
AACGUAGGUACCGAGCGUUAUCCGGAUUUACUGGGCGUAAAGCGCGUUCAGGCGGUUUGGCAAGUCGGGCAUGAAGUCUCUCGGCUCAACCGGGAGAGGUUGUCCGAUACUGCUGGACUUGAGGGCAGUAGAGGGUGGUGGAAUUCCGGGUGUAGUGGUGAAAUGCGUAGAUAUCCGGAGGAACACCAGUGGCGAAAGCGGCCACCUGGACUGUACCUGACGCUAACACGCGAAAGCUAGGGGAGCGAACGGG